GCGGAAAACCGCCUUCAGCACGGUGACGACGAAUUCGCGCGGCGUGUAGUCAUCGUUGAGCAGGAUCACCUUGCAAAGCGGCGGCCGCUCCAGCUUGAUCUUGGUCUUGGUGGUGGUUUUCGGUUUGACGGUUGUCGGGCUCAUCAGGCAUCUCUCGGACUGGUCUGUCUCGGACACGUUUGCGGGUUGGUAUCGUUCGUUCCGC
This 205-nucleotide unclassified non-coding RNA is filed under the name Hevea brasiliensis (rubber tree). Lineage: Eukaryota; Viridiplantae; Streptophyta; Magnoliopsida; Malpighiales; Euphorbiaceae. The record is from RNAcentral.